Molecule: ribosomal RNA, 301 nt
Filed under: uncultured bacterium
Lineage: Bacteria
Description: partial 16S ribosomal RNA
Rfam family: Bacterial small subunit ribosomal RNA
Source: RNAcentral
CAGCCGCCACGGGAAUACGUAGGUGGCAAGCGUUGUCCGGAAUUAUUAGGCGUAAAGGGCUCGCAGGCGGUUUCUUAAGUCUGAUGUGAAAGCCCCCGGCUCAACCGGGGAGGGUCAUUGGAAACUGGGAAACUUGAGUGCAGAAGAGGAGAGUGGAAUUCCACGUGUAGCGGUGAAAUGCGUAGAGAUGUGGAGGAACACCAGUGGCGAAGGCGACUCUCUGGUCUGUAACUGACGCUGAGGAGCGAAAGCGUGGGGAGCGAACAGGAUUAGAUACCCCAGUAGUCCCUGUCUCUUAUAU